This 5213-nucleotide long non-coding RNA is filed under the name Taeniopygia guttata (zebra finch). RNAcentral describes it as "lncRNA (ENSTGUG00000023636.1)". The record is from RNAcentral. Lineage: Eukaryota; Metazoa; Chordata; Aves; Passeriformes; Estrildidae.
UUUUUUAUAUUCUCAGUCUUGGGCUUCAUCCCAAGAAAUAAACAUGUGAAAACUAUUGGGGAUGGUUAUAAGUUCCUCCUAUUGAUAUAUCCUGUAUAAAUUAUGGAAAUUCUAUAAGUUCUUAUGCUAGACUGGGGAAUUUAUCCACCAUUAUUAUAUGGCUUGGCUGCUGUAGAAACUCAUGGAAACCUCACAUGCCAUAAUUGCCUGUGAGGGCAGAUGCUCCUUCUGUCUGCUUGCUGGCUCAGACAUGAACUGGAACCUGCUGCCUGCUGAAAGUGGAACUGGUGACUUAGUCUUUCAUAAUUUGUAUCUAUGUACUUUGGCAAAAAGUAAUCAGGCAGAGUUUUUAUUGUCAGUUGAUUACAUCAAUUAUGAAUUGUCCUAAAAAGCUACCUGCAAGAUGUAUUAUAAGCACAGAGAAACUUCAUUGAGCACUGUUAAAAUGAGACAAAAUUAGGAAGCCUGCAGCUUCCAAUGGAUCAGAAGGAUCUGGCCAAUGUGAUGAAUGCAACAAGGAGAGCCUGACUUUUGAAAACUAUGUGGUAGACAUGAAGACAAAGAGCCAUGGCAGAUGCCCAUCUCACAAAUGCUCAGUCGAAACACCUGCCUGGAUACCCAUUCAGCACUCUACCGAAACCAAAGAAGUUGAGUAUAUAACUUUAAAAAAUGUAUGUGUAUGUAGCAAACAGGUGAAGGGGAGCUCAACUGGAAAAGUAGGACUCUUCCUUAGAGACUGUAUUUUAAGAUGAGGAGGAGAUCAUACAAAAAUCUUCAGGCGGAACAAUCCCAACUCUCUCAGCAUGUCUUCAUAUGAGAGGUGCUGCAACCCUUUUUCCAUCUUCAUGGCCUCCUCUGGACCCAAUCCUAACAAGUCCACAUCCUUCCUGUGAUGAGGACCCCAAAGCUGGAUGGGUGGUGUCUCAUGAGAGGGGAGUAGAGAGGGAGAAUUCCCUCCCUUGACUUGCUGGUCACACUCCUUUUGAGGCAGCCCAGGGUAUAUCUGGUAUUUGCCCAUUUCUCUCUUUGUUUGCAUUUCAUUUGUUCACUAUUCAGCAUUUGAUAGGGAAACCAUACCACACAAAAUUCAGGAUUUUAUUCAUUGGCCACAGCCUCAGGAGCCAUCUCCUUUUUCCCUUCUAAAAGAAGGUAAUUUUUCUUCAUCUCUGCUAGCCUGGUUGCCAAGUGCAGCCCUCUUAUAAUUUCCUAUCAAUAAGGGAAGUAAUUGAAGGAUUUUUCAUUAAUAAGUAGGAUUUUCAGGAGAAGAAAAGUAGGGAUUGAAUCUCCUCAGGUUAGCAAAUUAAGAUGGGUACCCAGAUCCUUUGAAAGAUAAAAAUAGAGAUUUUCAAUCUGUAUCUUGCUUCAGGCAUUACAAGUGCAGAGAAAUGUCAAGACCAUGUCAGAGAGGCCUUUCAAUAUAGACUGUCGUUUCAGGAAGAAAAGACCAUUCUUUGCUGUCAUUAACUGGAUACAUUUUCCACCCUCAACUGGUUGUUUAUUACCAGAUUACAGGGAAGGGAUGUCAAUGUGGGCGUUAGGGCAUGUCUGUAUGCUUAUGUGUGUGCUGCUGUACAUUUGUAAGCUACUGGUGAAUCAGUGUUUGGCUGUAUUAGGACAGUGGCAUGCCCAGAAGCUUUAUAAGUGGUUUCUAAAAAAGAUUUGAAAUGCUAUUAGGUCCUCAGCCAGAAGUAAAUUCUAUAUAAUUUGUCUGAUACCACAGCAUGGGCUCCCUAUACCAGGAACUACUUAUGCAUUGUCCCUCUUUCUGGUGCGCUCCAGGUGGUGCCACAGUAGGAGUAUACUCUGUGAGUUUCACAGGGAGACUGUAUCCCACUUACAACCUAAUUUAAGAUUACUGAAAGAAAGAAGUUCCCAGUGCCCAAAUGGGAGGACAGAAUCACCUGGAAGAAAGCAAAAUAAUAGUUUCUGCAGAACACUGACAAAACAGGCUAUUUGAGGCAGCCAGGAGGAGGUAAUGGAGAAAAGAAAGGUCUGUGACCUGGCUGGGCGCAGAGAGCUCUGAGCUAGCACUGACCUGAGCAGAUAGUCCAGAUGGUGCAAAGGUGUGGGUCAGUGCUGCACAGAGACAACCAGCUUGGCUCUGGAAGCUGUUUCACAUUUUUUAUGUGGCAUCCUACCUGAGCUGCUUGUACAGGUCAAGGACUGAGCUAACUUCCUUGGAAAUGGCUUAGGUAUUUUCACAUUGCAUUUUACAGGUCAUAAAGGCAGAAGACUGAAAUUGUACUGAGUACAUCUCCGCUCACUCCUAAUACAUGUAAUAGAUGUAGCUGUGACCAAGAGCUGCUUGCAUUAAGUACCUCUCAGAUGAGGGAGGCUGUGGAGUGUCCCUCACUGGAGAUACUCAAAAACCAUCUGGAUUCAAUCCCAUGCCAUGUGCUCUAGGAAGGCUCUACUUAAGGAGGGAGUUUGAACCAGAUGACCCACUGUUAUCCCUUCCAACCUGACCCAUCCUGUGAUUUCAAAAGAUGAGAUUGUUGGCAUUUUUUUUUGUUGUUGUAUUUUAAGUAAGAAAUUACUUUAGGAUUUGGGAUUUCACUUUAAUGAUCAAUUUUGUUUCAUGUAGAUUUUGCAGAGUUCAGGUCUCAAAUAUCAUUCUGACAUUAAAAAAAUCAUUUGACAUUGUCCAUUCUUUCUUAAGGGCCAUAUGGCAGUUUGUAGGAAAAGAGGAAUGAAGUUAGGGGAAGUUAAAUGCAUAGUGUAGUUGUAAUCACAGGAAUCCUGUCAGCCGUAGUGUUAUGACCUUUGAUUAAUCUUUGUAGCAGAAAGAAAAUAAGUACUAAUGAGUUUGUUUAUUAGCAGUGGUUUAUACAAAUUUUUAUUGUUUUUAUGGUUGCAUUUAAUUCUUAGAAUGUUAAUUGUUAUGUGUGAUUAAUCCCCCUCAUGCAGAAAAGUUUUCACCAGCGGCUAUGUCUUUAAGACUUUGUCUUGAUUCACAUGUAAUUUAAGUUGACAAGAACACUAGCAGUGUAAAAGGGAAUAAAGAGCUUAGUUUCAGUGUCUAAUUGAGUUGUGGCUUCUGUGUGGCUGAUGCAGGACUGACUGGGUGUACUUUGAUGGUAAUAUUAAAUCUCACCACUACCUGAGUGAGGAUUGAAGUAAUUAGCAGGGCUUAGUGCCAGAAGGCAAUGCAAUUCACCAUGAUCAGACCUAAUUCAAGAUUUAUGGAGUGGGAAUUUCAGUUAUUUCUGGAUUUUUCAGACUACUGAUUUUUGUUUUUUUUUUUUUUUUAUUUUGAAGGUAUUCUGACAACCUAUUUGUUUUUGUAUAUGUCUUCAAUAUAUGCAGUUUAUAGUGGGAUUCUUUAUUGAGACCUCUGAAAGCUUUUGUAUUGCAAUGUGAGGAGAAACUACAAAGUUCCAGGUAUCUCUUCAUUGAAAUGCAUGCUGUAAUUGUCAGUUUUCUUCCAUGAUGGCAAGGAAAAGCAGAUACAGCAACACCCAUUCUUGGAAAGAUUUUUUCACUCCCUCAUUAUUCCCUAUUAUGGUGUAUGCUGUGUAAUUUUUAACAGCAAUUUAAAAGUACAUUCCAUAGCUGUCAGAGCUAGUAGAAAUGAUUGGGCAGAGCCCCUUGGCUAAACUGCAGGCCAAAAAGAUUUACGUGCAUUGAGUUCUAUCCUGGAGCCCAUAGAGUGCUGACUCUGCACUAGCAGGAGGGUGGCACUGCUCAGUUCAGCUUAGUGGCAUCCAGAACUUCUGCUCCAGGGGAACUCUGACACUUGUACGUCAACCAAAUGAAGAUGUGAAAUUUUGCAGUUUCCCACUAAAAUAUUUUUGCAAAGCAUACAGUUCUGGAAAUAACAAGAAACUUUGAUCCAGGUACUUUGUUUUGUCAUUUGUAAUAUAUUUAUAUUGAUUAAUAUAAUAAGAAAGGCUUUGAUAUUUUUCCAAACAUCAAAAGAAAUUGAAAUUAUGCCUUUACACUUUUUAAGAUCAUGCUGCUUGUUAAUUUUCUUUGCUGAAAACAUGAAAGAGGUCAAGACAUUUGAUAAACAUUUUUAUUUUGUUGAAGCACCAAAAGCAUAAGGAUUUCAUCCUGAAAAGGAUGAAAAUUGAAAGAUUUGCUUAAAUAUCUCUGUGGUCAGAGAAGGAAAAUAAAGGCAGCAUUUUACCCAUUAUUUGGGAGGCUACUUUCCUAGCAGCCACAAAUGAUUUUCCUAACACAUACUCAUACAGGUAACUACUCAAACAUACAACUAAAAGUGACUGUUUAAAAAUCAAUGUGCAUAUCUUUCAUGGAUAUUAAAGGAAUUUCCAUCACCCAUGGAUUUGGGAUUGUUUGUAUGAUAAUAUUCCCACCAGUCAGAUGUGCACGUGCAUUGCUGGGCAAUUUUUAGAUGUGAGGUUGAAGCAGGUUUAGGCUCUGUACUAGUCCAUGGGAAAUACUCCUUUGGCUCAUCUUUGAGAGCAUGUCUUGAUGUAGAGUUAUUUGCUAAGAGUCCAAUAUGGAAAUUGUGAAAGAUGCUUCAGGCUAGGACAUCCUUUAUGUGUAAAGUGCAAAAGCUUUUAUUUAUUUAGCAUGAGACAGUGUUAAGAACAUUUAGCUCAGAACAAGAAGGGCGUGGAAAAGCCUGCAGGGAAUCCAUACAGUUGUGUGCUGCUCUGCAGAGAAAUAUCCCUGUCUUCCCUCCUUAAAGAGCUGAAGUGUACAUCCCAUUAUUUGGUUGGCCAGCUAGGAUUUUUGGUGUGGAACAGCUCAGCAGGAGAUCAGUGUGAGGCUCUGGCUUGGAUUAGCUCACAUAGAGCAGGUAUAGGAGUAUUCUCAUAAAAACUUGUCAGAACUAUAGCAAUUUGGAAAAUUUUUCUUUGAAAUAAAGCACAUGUACUAGAAAAGAAAAAAAAAUUAUGCGAGUCCAAGAUGAAGAGAAAAACUUUGCCAUUAAGGUAGAAAUUUCUUUUUAGUUGUUCCAAUUGAUACAGAGCAAGCUGUAAACACUGGUCUGCAGCAUUCAGACUGAGUAUCCUAGUCACCAGUUAUUUUGGGGGUUUUCCCUCUUUCUGUUUCUCUUUCUUUGAACAGAAGUUUGUUAGUUUUUCAAAAUUCAUACAACUAGAGAGCAUGUCCUGCCUUCUUUCCCACCUAAAGGCACUUGAUCUUCUCUCCCACCCAGCUGAAAUCUUGGUCCUAAUGGUUCUCUUUCUGAAAGGUGGUAAGUAAUUACAGGGAGUUUGUACUCAAUUAAAGAGCCAAUGACC